This 259-nucleotide ribosomal RNA is filed under the name uncultured bacterium. Its description in RNAcentral is "partial 16S ribosomal RNA". It matches the Rfam family "Bacterial small subunit ribosomal RNA", at positions 1241 to 1500 of the family's 1533-position model. The record is from RNAcentral.
AAAGAGAGACAAGACCGCGAGGUGGAGCAAAUCUCAAAAAGCCGUCCCAGUUCGGAUCGCAGGCUGCAACCCGCCUGCGUGAAGUUGGAAUCGCUAGUAAUCGCGGAUCAGCAUGCCGCGGUGAAUACGUUCCCGGGCCUUGUACACACCGCCCGUCGCACCAUGAGAGUUUGUAACACCCAAAGCCGGUGGGGUAACCUUUUGGAGCCAGCCGUCUAAGGUGGGACAGAUGAUUGGGGUGAAGUCGUAACAAGGUAAC